AUUCAUUAGUAGGUCUUGCAAGGCAGAGAAUACAAAUUUUAAAAAAAGGUUCCAUGGCUUAACUAUAACUACCAAAAACUCAUCAUGGGCCCAAACAUUAUAAUAAAUCCAUAAGAUCUCCCAGCUCCACCAAAAAAAACCCUAGGCAGCCAAAAUGGGUUGAUGACCUAUAACAAUAACAAAUCCGCCUACAAACAACUUGCAUCAUGCCUUCAGGAAACCAUGGGUUUAUAAAACCACUUGAACUCAGACUGGCAAACCGCACAACGGAGGAAGCAAGGUCGGGUAGAGUCUCGCUGGCAUCUCAAUCUUAUUUAGCCAGGGCGACAACACCAUGUUCGGUUGACUCUUCAAAUCCUAGGAAUAUUUCCUCCUUCGACACCCAACAACAAGAACUCUCUCGUGCCUAGUCCAUGGCAAUGCUCGAGCAACCUUAUAACCACACAAAUGGAGCAGAUUUGCAAAAAGUCUGUCUCUUUUGUGCCAUAAGAUCUGCAACAAUACCACCGAAAAAACCAAAAGACAAAGCAAGAUAAGAGAACGAAAAACAGGACCACGUCACAAGGGCAGCCUAAAGGAUCACUCACCAUUCACCGUUUGCUACUCCACCAUCAAAAUCUAUGGAGGAGAAACCGACUAACCAGUAAGGAGAUGACCUCCCUCUCUACA
RNAcentral lists this unclassified non-coding RNA (669 nucleotides) under Hevea brasiliensis (rubber tree). Lineage: Eukaryota; Viridiplantae; Streptophyta; Magnoliopsida; Malpighiales; Euphorbiaceae. The record is from RNAcentral.